This 474-nucleotide RNase P RNA is filed under the name Moraxellaceae bacterium. RNAcentral describes it as "RNase P RNA component class A". It matches the Rfam family "Bacterial RNase P class A". From Rfam's summary of the family: Ribonuclease P (RNase P) is a ubiquitous endoribonuclease, found in archaea, bacteria and eukarya as well as chloroplasts and mitochondria. Its best characterised activity is the generation of mature 5'-ends of tRNAs by cleaving the 5'-leader elements of precursor-tRNAs. The record is from RNAcentral. Lineage: Bacteria; Pseudomonadati; Pseudomonadota; Gammaproteobacteria; Moraxellales; Moraxellaceae.
GAAGUCCGCCAGGCAGUCGCUGCAUGCGUUCGCAUGUGGAGGAAAGUCCGGGCCCCGCAGGGCAGGAUGCCGGCUAACGGCCGGGCGCCGUGAGGCGACGGAAAGUGGAACAGAAAGCAAACCGCCGAUGGCGGACCGGGCUUCGCGGCCGCAAGGCCGCAAAGUCUCUUCCAGGGGCAGCAGUGUCCUUGGCACGGUUCGAUCAGGUAAGGGUGAAACGGUGUCAGGCCGAGCGUGAGCGAGGGCUGGCGCAUUGCGCGAGCAAUGCGGGGUAAGAGCCCACCGCAGGACUGGCGACAGGACUGGCACGCUAAACCCCAUCCGGGGCAAGGCCAAAUAGGGGGGCGUCGAUGCGGCCCGCAGAGCCCCCGGGUAGGCUGCUAGAGCGGCACAGCAAUGUGUCGCCCAGAGGAAUGACUGCCCCGUAGCCGCAAGGCUGCGCGACAGAACCCGGCUUAUCGGCGGACUUCCCUC